RNAcentral lists this ribosomal RNA (237 nucleotides) under uncultured Leptospira sp. RNAcentral's name for it is "partial 16S ribosomal RNA". It matches the Rfam family "Bacterial small subunit ribosomal RNA", at positions 81 to 317 of the family's 1533-position model. Lineage: Bacteria; Pseudomonadati; Spirochaetota; Leptospiria; Leptospirales; Leptospiraceae. The record is from RNAcentral.
GAGUAGCAAUACCAGUGGCGAACGGGUGAGUAAUACAUGGAUAACCUACCUAGAAGUUGGGGAUAACACAGAGAAAUUUGUGCUAAUACCGAAUGUGACGGUUCCUGGUAGCAGGGAUUGGUUAAAGCAGCAAUGCGCUUUUAGAUGGGUCCAUGGCUGAUUAGCUAGUUGGUGGGGUAAAGGCUCACCAAGGCGACGAUCAGUAGCCGGCCUGAGAGGGUGAACGGCCACAAUGAU